This 254-nucleotide ribosomal RNA is filed under the name uncultured bacterium. Its description in RNAcentral is "partial 16S ribosomal RNA". It matches the Rfam family "Bacterial small subunit ribosomal RNA", at positions 524 to 776 of the family's 1533-position model. The record is from RNAcentral.
GACGAACCGUGCGAACGUUGUCCGGAAUUAUUGGGCGUAAAGAGCUCGUAGGCGGUGUGUCACGUCGUUCGUGAAAACCUGCAGCUUAACUGUGGGCGUGCGGUCGAUACGGGCAUCACUGGAGUUCGGCAGGGGAGACUGGAAUUCCUGGUGUAGCGGUGAAAUGCGCAGAUAUCAGGAAGAACACCCGUGGCGAAGGCGGCUCUCUGGAACGCAACUGACGCUGAGACGCGAAAGCGUGGGGAGCAAACAGG